UUCAAUAAAAACAUCCGUGCUUCCGGUCAUCAAGACUCAAACAGAAUGGUGGGAUGACGUGGAACACUGUACAAUAUAGUAGUGACAUGUUUCACAGGUGCUGAAUUGAACAUGAAUUUACAACAAAACAAUUCAGAUUUCUGGUUAUGCAUUUUUGAAUCGGUUAAAACAUGUCACGAAUAUAAUUUACAAAUCUCUUGAAGCUUUGUUUCAUUAUAACCUAACAUAGAUAAUAGAGUAAUAAUAUAAAAUAGCUAUAUUCAGUGAAAUUAAAUUGAAUUUCAAAGGGGACAAAACGUCAUCAAUAUCGUUGUCGUUGUCAGUGAAAAUGUGCUUUAAAAACCAAUUCUCUGGCAAAAAGAUUAAUAUGGAAGUUCUAAAAUAUUAUUUUAGCUGCAUGUAUAAUAUUUCUAAAGCACAACUUUGAGUUAGGUUAAAACACAAAGUAUUUAUCUGCUCCAACACAUCAAUUAUUUAUUCUUCAAUAUUUAAUAAAGUCUACACACAAUUAGUCUAAAAUAAUGUCCAGUAUGCACGACAAUAUGACGUCCAAGGACAUGUGAUGCAUGUGUAGAGAGGAUACGGAACAACAACACGUCAGUGUGGUACAGUGGCUGUACAGAAGUAUGACUGAAAAGUAGUUCUCGACUGAUACAGCUUCUGUCGGGUACAAAUUCUAACUAUAAUAGUUCACCAGACAGAGUAAAAUAAGGAACAGAGACUGUUAUAAAGUACACACAGUUUCAUAACGGGUAUCAUUUUGGUAAUUAGUUGUUCUACAUUAAAUGUAAUGGUAUUUUUAUUUAUUCAAUUCGAUCUAAAAAUAACGUUUUGUGAGAGAACGUCUUCUUUUAAAAUCUGUAACAUUGCAUGUAAUUCCAGCGUUCCUCGCCGCUUGCCCACGAGCCACAACAGGAAGCAGUUAGCACUGAUCAUACCUUAGUCUAUCGUAGAUGUCUAUCGUAGAUGUUGGAUGAUGAAAAUGAAAAACCAAGACAGUGAAAUUGUAUUCAGACCGACGAAAGAACGUGAGUUUGGUUUUGUGUCUUACUUUGUAACACAAGUAUGACACAAAGGUGAAUAAAUUGGAGCAGGUCUGAUUACAUACUGCCAAGCACUGUUUGACAUAAAGGAACUGACAAAAACAUAUGUAAGUAGAACAAUACAGAUUUGUGCAUGGAUUGUAAUACAUAAAGUAGUUGUAUACAAUGUUUCGAUACUAUGCAUAUUAUUGUAAUAACUUUGACAAUGAUGACUUUAAAAUGUCAGCGCGGAAGAAUCAUACUUUUGCUGUGGAAAAAUUCAACAUCGCGGCAGUUCACACAAAGGGUAAGCAUGACUACAGGUAGCUAACGCUGUUCACACAAAGGGUAAGCAUGACUACAGGUAGCUAACGCUGUUCACACAAAGGGUAAGCAUGUACUACAGGUAGUUAACGCUGUUCACACAAAGGGUAAGCAUGUACUACAGGUAGCUAACGCUGUUCACACAAAGGGUAAGCAUGACUACAGGUAGCUAACGCUGUUCACACAAAGGGUAAGCAUGACUACAGGUAGCUAACGCUGUUCACACAAAGGGUAAGCAUGACUACAGGUAGCUAACGCUGUUCACACAAAGGGUAAGCAUGACUACAGGUAGCUAACGCUGUUCACACAAAGGGUAAGCAUAACUACAGGUAGCUAACGCUGUUCACACAAAGGGUAAGCA
Molecule: long non-coding RNA, 1707 nt
Filed under: Haliotis rubra (blacklip abalone)
Lineage: Eukaryota; Metazoa; Mollusca; Gastropoda; Lepetellida; Haliotidae
Description: uncharacterized LOC124252819
Source: RNAcentral